UAACCUGGACAGCAGCAGGCCAGAGCUGAGCUCCCCAGUGUGGCGAAGCACAGGGGCUAAAGCACAAAACAGUCCGGGAGGGCAGGACUGGAGAGCUCAGUCAACUAGCAGACAAAGGCACGCAGGCUGCACAGCGGCUCACACCGGAGACAAGGUUCUGUGGUGAGAUAAUUGCUAAACAAGCCUUCCUGAAUUAUGGCCCCCGGAAGCCAAAAGGCCAUAGAUACCAUACACGGACACCAAAAAUAAGAGCGGGGAAGGGUGAAAGGGGAGGGGGAGACAGACCGAGAACCCCGGAUCGAGGCCCGGAGCUGGGGAGGGACUCCUGCGGGUUAGGAGUGAAAGCAGGCAGCGUCUUGCAGAGCAGAGCAGGGCAGAGCAGAGGAGAGAUCGCAGCCUCCCUGUCGCUGCCUCCGGUGUCCAGUGCUUCGCAGGGGGCUGGACAAGUAAAUCCACUUCGCGCUCUGCCUCCGCCUCCACUGCGAUGCCCGGCCUCACCCCCAGCCCCAGUAGGCGGGGCCCGGUGACCGAGACUUGAGCCGGCCCGGACGGGGGUGUCCUCCGUGACUCGGUCAGGGGCGAGCGGCCAGCCGCCGGAGCGAUGAGACUAAGUCGCCGGACACUGCAUGGAUCAAAGCUUAAAAGAUGCAGCUGCUGCUGGGUAGCAGGGCUGUUGUCCAGCUGCUUAGAAGACUGAGGCACGAGUGCUUGAGCCCAAGAGUUUGAUGCCAGCCUUAGCAACAUGGUGAGGCCCUGCCUCAAAAAAUAAAACAAUUACAAGA
Molecule: non-coding RNA, 782 nt
Organism: Heterocephalus glaber (naked mole-rat)
Lineage: Eukaryota; Metazoa; Chordata; Mammalia; Rodentia; Bathyergidae
Source: RefSeq, a predicted model, not a curated record